AGAGUUUGAUCCUGGCUCAGGAUGAACGCUAGCGGCAGGCCUCAUACAUGCAAGUCGAGGGGCAGCAUGACAUUUCGGUGUUGAUGGCGACCGGCGGACGGGUGCGUAACACGUGUGCAAUCUACCUUGUACUGGGGAAUAACCAUUGGAAACGAUGACUAAUACCCCAUAUUAUCCUUUUUCCGCAUGGAGGAAGGAUGAAAGCUCCGGCGGUACAAGAUGAGCACGCGGCCCAUUAGCUAGUUGGUGAGGUAAUGGCUCACCAAGGCUACGAUGGGUAGGGGCUCUGAGAGGAGUAUCCCCCACACUGGCACUGAGACACGGGCCAGACUCCUACGGGAGGCAGCAGUAGGGAAUAUUGGUCAAUGGGCGCAAGCCUGAACCAGCCAUGCCGCGUGCAGGAUGAAGGUCCUUAGGAUUGUAAACUGCUUUUGUACAGGAACAAUAACCCCCUGCGGGGGGCCAUGAGCGUACUGUAAGAAUAAGCGCCGGCUAACUACGUGCCAGCAGCCGCGGUAAUACGUAGGGCGCAAGCGUUAUCCGGAUUCAUUGGGUUUAAAGGGUGCGUAGGCGGUAAGAUAAGUCAGUGGUGAAAGCCAGCAGCUCAACUGUUGAAUGGCCAUUGAUACUGUCUUGCUAGAGUUCAGUC
This 649-nucleotide ribosomal RNA is filed under the name uncultured bacterium. RNAcentral describes it as "bacterial SSU rRNA". It matches the Rfam family "Bacterial small subunit ribosomal RNA", at positions 8 to 653 of the family's 1533-position model. The record is from RNAcentral.